GACGAACGCUGGCGGCGUGCUUAACACAUGCAAGUCGAACGGAAAGGCCUGCUUUCCCUUGUGGAUUGCGGGUACUCGAGUGGCGAACGGGUGAGUAACACGUGAGUGAUCUUCCCCCAACUUGGGUAUAAGCCUGGGAAACUGGGUCUAAUUCCCGAUAGGACUGCAGGGUGGUGCCUGUUGUGGAAAACGAUUUUCUAGUGGUUGGGGAUGAGCUCGCGGCCUAUCAGCUUGUUGGUGGGGUAAUGGCCUACCAAGGCGGCGACGGGUAGCCGGCCUGAGAGGGUGGACGGCCACAUUGGGACUGAGAUACGGCCCAGACUCCUACGGGAGGCAGCAGUGGGGAAUAUUGCACAAUGGGCGGAAGCCUGAUGCAGCGACGCCGCGUGGGGGAUGACGGCCUUCGGGUUGUAAACUCCUUUCGACCGCGAGGAAGCCACCUGGUUGGAAGGGUGGUGACGGUAGUGGUAGAAGAAGCACCGGCUAACUACGUG
This 494-nucleotide ribosomal RNA is filed under the name uncultured bacterium. Its description in RNAcentral is "partial 16S ribosomal RNA". It matches the Rfam family "Bacterial small subunit ribosomal RNA", at positions 28 to 507 of the family's 1533-position model. The record is from RNAcentral.